This is an RNA transcript of Odobenus rosmarus divergens (Pacific walrus), 1206 nucleotides long. It is a transcript of the gene named transforming protein RhoA-like, with no coding region annotated. The transcript has a single exon. The record is from RefSeq and is a predicted model, not a curated record. NCBI's taxonomy places the organism in Eukaryota, Metazoa, Chordata, Mammalia, Carnivora, Odobenidae.
AUGGCUGCCAUCCGGAAGAAACUGGUGAUUGUUAGUGAUGGAGCCUGUGGCAAGACUUGUUUGCUCAUCGGCUUUAGCAAGGACCAGUUCCCGGAAGUGUAUGUACCCACAGUGUUUGAGAACUAUGUGGCAGAUAUUGAAGUUGAUGGAAAGCAGCCCGGAUAGUUUAGAAAACAUCCCAAAAAUAUGGACCCCGGAAGUCAAGCACUUCUGUCCCAACGUGCCCAUCAUCCUGGUUGGGAACAAGAAGGAUCUUCGGAAUGAUGAGCACACAAGGCGGGAGCUAGCCAGGAUGAAGCAGGAGCCGGUGAAACUGGAAGAAGGCAGAGAUAUGGCAAACAAGAUUGGCGCUUUCGGUUACACGGAGUGUUCAGCAAAGACCAAAGAUGGAGUGAGGGAGGUUUUUGAAAUGGCCACAAGAGCUGCUCUGCAAGCCAGACAUGGGAAGAAAAAAUCUGGGUGCCUUGUCUUGUGAAACCCUGCUGCAAGCACAGCCCUCGUGCAGUUAAUUUUGAAGUGCUGUUUAUUAAUCUUAGUGUAUGAUUACUGGCCUUUUUUCAUUUAUCUGUAAUUUACAUAAGAUUACAAAUCAGAAGUCAUCUUGCUACCAGUAUUUAGAAGCCAACCGUGAUUAUUAAUGAUGUCCAACCUACCCGACCACCGGGGUCCGUCUGACACCGCUCUAACAGCCCUCCUCUGCACUCCCACCUGACACACCAGGCGCUAAUUCAAGGGAUUUCUUAACUUCCUUGCUUCUUUCUAGAAAGAGAAACAGUUGGUAACUUCUGUGAAUUAGGCUGUAACUACUUUAUAACUAACAUGUCCUGCCUGCCCUCUGUCAGCGGCAAGGUACUCUGGUGAGUCCCUACUUCAGAGCUUUACUCCUUAACAGAUUUUAUUGCAUAGCUCUGUGAUGGGCAUCCAGUUUUUUGAAAAUGCUCAUCCAGAAAGGCCCAAGUCCAUGCAGCUGUGGCAGAGUUACAGUUCUGUGGUUUCAUGUUAGUUACCUUAUAGUUACUGUGUAAUUAGUGCCACUUAAUGUAUGUUACCAAAAAAUAAAUAUAUCUACCCCAGACUAGAUGUAGUAUUUUUUGUAUAAUUGGAUUUCCUAAUACUGAUAUUUGUCAUCCCUGCAGAAAGUGUAUUGGUUUUUUAAAAAAGAAAGUGUAUUUGAAAAUAAAGUCAGAUGGAAAAAUUCAAAAAAAA